AUGUCUAGCUUUUGUUUGGGUGUCACCUUUUUACUGCAACUAUGCCACAGCUGUAUUCAGAGCAUGCUACAGCCAGUUCUCGCUUUUAUUUUUGACUGCAUAUUUCUAUUUCAGGAGACCUGCAUAGGAAAAAAAACCCCAGGUGACCAGAAAGACCCUGUCUUAAGUUUUGCACUGUUGCUGUUGGUUACACCCUUCCACGUAAUAUGCAACAUGAAUCUUUGUCUGAUCCCACAUGCCCAGAAAUGGAAGAGAGCCCAGCAAAGAGGACUAAAAGCACAGUUUCUUGGCUUUCUAUCAAUCUCAAUAGGUUGAGUAAGGCUUCUUUGGGAUUUUUCCUUUCAGUUAAUAUUACUUUAGCUAUAGUGCAGUUCCUGUCAGUCCAAAGUCAUGCUACUUCCAAAGGAUGUGAACCAAUUUCCCAAUAAACUUUACCCCUGCUACUGAAGCAGGUUCUCUUAAAUGUAGUAGCAGUGUUCCUUCUGAAUUUUUUACUAUAGCAUUUAUCCAAAUUUAUGCACUCAAAAAAUACAGAAUUCUUCAUUUUCAUUUUAAAAAAUGCUGGAACUUGGCUAGUGUGCAUUCGUAAGAGCUAUUGCAAGCAUAUUUUGCAUUAUUAACAAUAUUGGAUUAAGUACCAAGCUCCUCAGCAGCAGGAAAAAUAUUACACAGAAGAAGCCCUUUCUGGAGUUUGUUAUCAACAUUAGAGAAUUAGAAGCAAUUUGCAAUACUGUCUCACUGUCCAAUAUCACAAAGACUCUCCUGAUUUACCUGAAGACUAUGAGAGUGUUCAUACACAAAAGAAAUAUGGCAUGCUAACACAGCAUAGGGAGUAUUCCUUUGCCCUUUGAAAGUAUCCAGAAAUUUUGCUUUUUACAGUUAUGCUUUUGAUGCUUGGUCAAAAUUUUAAGUACUGCACAGCAUUGUGGCUACUCUUAAAUCCAGGACUACUGAGAGGCAUUGGUUCAGGUCAGCUUCAGGGCAAUUUCAUACUCGUAGGCAAUGACAUUGCUGCUUUAAGAGCUGGCACUGAACUGCCAGGCAAAUAAAAAGCAUGUAUCAUGCUCAAGGAAACACUAGUCCAUGUCCAGAAGAAAUGGAGAAGAAUGCAUCAAGUUAUCACCAUAAAAAUAAAUGACCCAGCCUGAAAAGAUAAUGGAUUUUCUUGUCUUCUUCGGCAAUGAGCCAGUUCUGGAAAAAAACUACAACUGGGCAAAGUGAGGCAGUGACUCAGCAUCAGGAUGUGCAGUCUAAAGAUAGAAGAGUUCUCAUGGGACCUUGUCAUAAUCAGCCACAUUCAUAACUCUGCUGGGCCCUCUGCUAAGUUCAGUACAGCUGAAAGUCGUGCCUUUCUCUCACUCCCAGCAGUGAGGGAUAAUGCAUUUGAACAGGUAUCUAGCAGGAAGAAACCUGUGAGAUAGGCUAGAAAAUGAUGGCCAUCAUACAGUGAAAUCUACUGCAACAGGAAUUGUAUGUGAAAUAGAUACUGAGGAUUAUUUUUUUCUCUAGACUCUGUUCACAGUGCAAGCCAAAGUAAUACUUUUGUUUCCAUGAUGAAAAUUAUCUGGCUAAUAAGUUACAAUAUUUUUAAGAAAGGGCUAAAAUGAAAAUCCUAUAAAAUUCUACCUUGGUGCUGUUAAAAAGUCCAAGGCACUCUAAAACACUAAAAUCCUCUCGAGGCAAUAGUUAAGUUCUAAGAAAUUUUAACAAAUUGAUCUUUCCUUUGCUGACAGAAUAAAAUAAAAGAUUAUUUAGCUGACUAAGGUCUUAAAAUUUUAGUAAGUGUUUUUAUCUCUGCCUAUAAUGAGAUCUAUUUCUUCCAGUAAUGUAAUUAUUGUUAAUGGUUUUUCUGAUACUAAGAAAGGAAACUGAUUUUAGCUGCAGUGGAAUUGUAGUUAUUUAAAACAUUAAAUUCACCCAUUCACAUCAACAGUGACAUGAGACAUUUUAGUUUGUCAUUUAUAACAUUACACAAGCACUUUCAAAAAUCUUCCACACACUAUAUAUUUUUACGACACAUAAAGACAAGAGUAGCUAUGAAAGUAUCCAACUUCUACCAUUACCUCAUGGCAAAAAGAUGGUAUUUCUCUAGAAAAAUGGUAAGAGUCUUUCUAAACAGACAGGUAGAAGGUAUAUGUCAUGAUAGGCUAUAUCAAUUGAUAUUUUAUUUCUGGAGCAUUUCAAGGGUAAAAAUCUGAAGUGCUUAUCCAACCUUCCCUAACAACGUUACCUGUGGGAACACUUGGGGCUAGAAUCAUCACCCCACACUGGUCAGUCUUAACGGGAACCAAAGUCUGAACUGCUGGCUAGAGCUGAGCAUACAAAAUAAACAUUUCCUCUGCUGAGUUUAACACUCAUGUCAUUAGGAGGUCUGCUUUUCUAUAAUAUUCUCAAAAAUUAUUGUUAAGAAUUUUGCAAAAACAAAACGUACACUUACUUAGCAGCAUAUUCACACAAAGCUAAAGCCAUUUUUUUUAAAAAAUACCCAGUUAAUCAAGAAAAUCUCAGAUCAUCCACCCACACAUCAGAACAACUUACAUUGAAAAUAGUACAUUGUAAUGAGUGACUCAUGACUAACUGUAUUCCAUACUGGACACGUAAAAACUGUAUUUGUCAAAAUAAUUAUUACUGUUAAAGCCAUGUUCUCCUUGCUCUGUUUUUAAAAUUCCCUCAUGUGCAGCACAAACACUCCUGCAUUUAAAAGAGUUUAGUUGUCAGAUUUCAAAAGAUCAAAAUAAAAUAAAGUAAAACAAGCCUUUGGAAAUGUUGGCAUUUUAGUAUAUCCAAUAAAAAGACAAAUUCCUGUACUAUACAUAUUUCAUCAAGUGUCAUCAGUGUAUCAAGUGCUUACACAUCUCUUUUCCCAUUUAAAUUUGCAAUAAAAACUUCUACUGACUUCAAUUAGGAAAGUAAGAGGAAUCCAGCCUAAUGUACUGAAAAUCCUGUUGCUAAUUUCCAAACAGUUUAACUGAAAGAGUAUUCAUGGUGCCUACAUAUUACAGGAUAUUAUUUAUUGUAUCAUUUGGUUAUUUUUCAUUUCACUGGUGACAUAGAAGAGACUACACUGUGUUGAGUUGCAGCUGACAUUUAAAUGUUGAUUUUAAACCAUGUAAGAUUUCUUAUUUAAAAGAAAACUUGAAAGUUUGGGGAAAAAAUAAUGCUAUGAAUUAAAUCAAUUUUACUGUCAGUUUUUUCCCCAAAAACAUUUUUUAAAGACUUUCUUU
Molecule: long non-coding RNA, 3224 nt
Organism: Corvus moneduloides (New Caledonian crow)
Lineage: Eukaryota; Metazoa; Chordata; Aves; Passeriformes; Corvidae
Source: Ensembl